CGGCAGACUUACCAGCAAGACUAAGCCUUCUCUGGCUUUGUUCUUUCCUUAAGUGUCUGCCAGAGAGACGUGAGGCAGUUUGAGGCCCUGCUUAUGAAUAUUUCUUAGCAGGGUUAUAGGUAUACCUCCAACAAGG
Small nucleolar RNA from Doryrhamphus excisus (bluestripe pipefish), 136 nucleotides. RefSeq annotates it as small nucleolar RNA SNORA9. The record is from RefSeq and is a predicted model, not a curated record. NCBI's taxonomy places the organism in Eukaryota, Metazoa, Chordata, Actinopteri, Syngnathiformes, Syngnathidae.